UACGUAGGGACCAAGCGUUGUUCGGAUUUACUGGGCGUAAAGGGCGCGUAGGCGGUGUUGUAAGUCACUUGUGAAAUCUCUGAGCUUAACUCAGAACGGCCAAGUGAUACUGCAGCACUAGAGUGCAGAAGGGGCAAUCGGAAUUCUUGGUGUAGCGGUGAAAUGCGUAGAUAUCAAGAGGAACACCUGAGGUGAAGACGGGUUGCUGGGCUGACACUGACGCUGAGGCGCGAAAGCUAGGGGAGCAAACGGG
RNAcentral lists this ribosomal RNA (253 nucleotides) under uncultured bacterium. RNAcentral's name for it is "partial 16S ribosomal RNA". It matches the Rfam family "Bacterial small subunit ribosomal RNA", at positions 524 to 776 of the family's 1533-position model. The record is from RNAcentral.